GACGAACGCUGGCGGCGUGCUUAACACAUGCAAGUCGAACGGAAAGGCCCUGCUUUUGUGGGGUGCUCGAGUGGCGAACGGGUGAGUAACACGUGAGUAACCUGCCCUUGACUUUGGGAUAACUUCAGGAAACUGGGGCUAAUACCGGAUAGGAGCUCCUGCUGCAUGGUGGGGGUUGGAAAGUUUCGGCGGUUGGGGAUGGACUCGCGGCUUAUCAGCUUGUUGGUGGGGUAGUGGCUUACCAAGGCUUUGACGGGUAGCCGGCCUGAGAGGGUGACCGGCACAUUGGGACUGAGAUACGGCCCAGACUCCUACGGGAGGCAGAAGUGGGGAAUAUUGCACAAUGGGCGGAAGCCUGAUGCAGCAACGCCGCGUGCGGGAUGACGGCCUUCGGGUUGUAAACCGCUUUCGCCUGUGACGAAGCGUGAGUGACGGUAAUGGGUAAAGAAGCACCGGCUAACUACGUG
RNAcentral lists this ribosomal RNA (467 nucleotides) under uncultured bacterium. Its description in RNAcentral is "partial 16S ribosomal RNA". It matches the Rfam family "Bacterial small subunit ribosomal RNA", at positions 28 to 507 of the family's 1533-position model. The record is from RNAcentral.